UACGUAGGGUGCGAGCAUUAAUCGGAAUUAUUGGGCGUAAAGGGCGCGUAGGCGGAUGGAUAAGUCAGAUGUGAAAAUACCAAAGCUCAACUUUGGUGCUGCAUUUGAAACUGCCUGUCUAGAGGAUUGACGGAGAAAGGGGAAUUCCACGUGUAGCGGUGAAAUGCGUAGAUACGUGGAGGAACACCCGGUGGCGAAAGCGCCUUUCUAGUUUAGACCUGACGCUGAGGCGCGAG
Molecule: ribosomal RNA, 236 nt
Filed under: uncultured bacterium
Lineage: Bacteria
Description: partial 16S ribosomal RNA
Rfam family: Bacterial small subunit ribosomal RNA
Source: RNAcentral